GAUUGCAUCCAGGAUGUCACAUCACAUUUAGUUGAAAUUGUCUCCUAAGCACCUCUUGGCUGUGGAAAACAAAAACCAAAAUAAUCAAGAGCUCUAAAGACCCAAUUCUAAGUUGGUGGCAUUACCAUCUUUUAAAAAAAGCUAAUGAAGAAAUGUAGGAAGAAAAUGAUUUUCAAUGUCAAAGAUGGAAUUAAUGAAAACCAAGAAUUAAUGAAACUACAAGAAUCAAUUACAAGAAUAAAGGGAGAUUGCUUGAAAGACUCAUAACUUGAAGAGUCCCUGACAGAAAUUGCUGAAUGUCACUUCUGCUCACCAUGGGCUGGAAUGAUCCACAUGACCUCAUCUCACUGUAUGGAAGAAUGGAGAACGGGAGGAGUGUAUGGAAGUCAACCAGAAUUAAGUUUCUGCCACAUGUGUGCCAUGAAAAGUUGCUGAACAUUGUUUGGAACCAGGAAAAGGGAACUGAAGCUGCUUUGCAAAACAAUGUGGUGUACCCAUUUCCAGAAAGGAAAGCUAUACAAAUUAGGUUAUAUUGAUGAACAAUUUUCCACUUAUCAUUAAAAAAAUUAGACUGUUCCUCCAAGAAUUAUUGUUUAUCAUUGGUACAUGUGUGUCUGUUCUGGAAGUUCAUGCAUUCAUCCAUUCAUUUGGCAAAUAUUUUUUUGUGCCUGCUAUGUAGUUGCCAGAAAUAAAGUAACAAACAAACAUCA
RNAcentral lists this long non-coding RNA (710 nucleotides) under Oryctolagus cuniculus (rabbit). Its description in RNAcentral is "lncRNA (ENSOCUG00000037317.1)". The record is from RNAcentral. Lineage: Eukaryota; Metazoa; Chordata; Mammalia; Lagomorpha; Leporidae.